This is a long non-coding RNA of Musa acuminata AAA Group (dessert banana), 1031 nucleotides long. RefSeq lists it as uncharacterized. The transcript has 3 exons. The record is from RefSeq and is a predicted model, not a curated record. Lineage: Eukaryota; Viridiplantae; Streptophyta; Magnoliopsida; Zingiberales; Musaceae.
GCCACUGUAGUGUGUUCACCCCUUUAGCCGUUGUGCUCUCUCUCUCUCUCUCUCUCUAUUUAUCUCGUGCAUACAGAGACGCCCUCUUCUUGUCUCGCACAUUUAUUGCGAGCUUUCUCUGUCGGGCUUCAGUUGGCUUCAGUCGUCUUCCAAGCUACACCAUUUAAUGUUCCUGUUACUACUACUGCUGCCACUACAUAUCCCUUCCCCUCGAAGAUGUCGAACUUUCCUGCCUCUCUCUGCGAUUCCUCUUUGAAUAUCUUCCACCUCGCCGUCUACAGCUCCGAUCCAUGGCCCUCCCCAUCAUCCUCAUCAUCUAGUCCCUGAUCCCUUCUUUCUACGUGCUUUGAUCUCUAUUGCUUUGCUUCUUUCUGUAGCUCUUGGAGAACUGUGAGAUAUAGAUAUGCCGGGGGUGUACCUGCACUUGUCGCCUCGGGGGAUGACCGGUGGAGGGGGGAGACGCGGGCCGGCACCACCCAAAGGAUGGAUGGCGAUACGGGUCGGAGGCGCGGGGGAGGAGCAGCAGCGGUUCGUGGUGCCGGUGGGGUACCUCAACCACCCGCUCUUCGUGGCCCUGCUCCGGGCGGCGGAGGAGGAGUACGGAUUCCACCACACCGGCGCCAUCACCAUCCCCUGCCACGUCGAGCAAUUCCGCCACGUCCAGGGCAUCAUCGACCGCGACACCUCCUCCACCACCGCCGGAGCCGGAGGCCACCGCCACCACCACCUUCACCUGUGCUUCAGGGCUUGAAAAGUUCAAACCCUACGUAGCUGAGGCUUUUGUAAAAGCUUCGGAAUCUGAAAACAUACUUGUAGUUCGUUCAAUCAAAGAGACUUCGUUGUACAGGAAAACAGCAUAAUACAUGCUAUCAAGGCAUCAAUGGCAUACAUUUCAGGCAUUCUCUACAAAGCCAGGAUCGAAAGAAUUGCAACAAUAACAAACGAAGAGAUGGGGUAGAUAAUGAACAAAGAAUUACAUCAGGGGAUCGCAGGAUUUAGUUAUGUCUCACGUUUGUGCUGCGGAUGGUUAC